This 307-nucleotide ribosomal RNA is filed under the name uncultured bacterium. RNAcentral's name for it is "partial 16S ribosomal RNA". It matches the Rfam family "Bacterial small subunit ribosomal RNA", at positions 495 to 797 of the family's 1533-position model. The record is from RNAcentral.
AAUUCGCCCUUUGCCAVCAGCCGCGGUAAUACARAGGGUGCGAGCGGUUAAUCGGAUUUACUGKGCGUAAAGCGUGCGUAGGCGGYUUUUUAAGUCRGAUGUGAAAUCCCCGAGCUUAACUUGGGAAUUGCAUUCGAUACUGGGAMGCUAGAGUAUGGSAGAGGAUGGURKAAUUCCCRGGUGUAGCGGUGAAAUGCGUARAGAUCUGGAGGAAUACCGAUGGCAGAAGGCAGCCWUCUGGCCUAAUACUGACGCUGAUGGYACGAAAGCAUGGGGAGCAAACAGGAUUAGAUACCCUGGUAGUCCC